GUCGAACGGAGCACCCCUGAUGGAGUUUUCGGACAACAGAUGGGAAUGCUUAGUGGCGGACGGGUGAGUAACGCGUGAGGAACCUGCCUUGGAGAGGGGAGUAACACAGUGAAAAUUGUGCUAAUACCGCAUGACGCAGUUGGGCCGCAUGGCUCUGACUGCCAAAGAUUUAUCGCUCUGAGAUGGCCUCGCGUCUGAUUAGCUGGUUGGUGGGGCAACGGCCCACCAAGGCGACGAUCAGUAGCCGGACUGAGAGGUUGACCGGCCACAUUGGGACUGAGACACGGCCCAGACUCCUACGGGAGGCAGCAGUGGGGAAUAUUGGGCAAUGGGCGCAAGCCUGACCCAGCAACGCCGCGUGAAGGAAGAAGGCUUUCGGGUUGUAAACUUCUUUUAUGAGGGACGAAAGAAAUGACGGUACCUCAUGAAUAAGCCACGGCUAACUACGUGCCAGCAGCCGCGGUAAUACGUAGGGGGCAAGCGUUAUCCGGAUUUACUGGGUGUAAAGGGAGCGUAGACGGCAAGGCAAGCCUGGAGUGAAAGGCGGGGGCCCAACCCCCGGACUGCUCUGGGAACUGUCUAGCUAGAGUGCAGGAGGGGUAAGUGGAAUUCCUAGUGUAGCGGUGAAAUGCGUAGAUAUUAGGAGGAACACCAGUGGCGAAGGCGGCUUACUGGACUGUAACUGACGUUGAGGCUCGAAAGCGUGGGGAGCAAACAGGAUUAGAUACCCUGGUAGUCCACGCCGUAAACGAUGAUCACUAGGUGUCGGGUGUUAAGGAACGCUCGGUGCCGCAGCAAACGCAAUAAGUGA
Molecule: ribosomal RNA, 811 nt
Filed under: uncultured bacterium
Lineage: Bacteria
Description: bacterial SSU rRNA
Rfam family: Bacterial small subunit ribosomal RNA
Source: RNAcentral